RNAcentral lists this ribosomal RNA (405 nucleotides) under uncultured bacterium. RNAcentral describes it as "partial 16S ribosomal RNA". It matches the Rfam family "Bacterial small subunit ribosomal RNA", at positions 30 to 526 of the family's 1533-position model. The record is from RNAcentral.
AUUGAACGCUGGCGGCAGGCUUAACACAUGCAAGUCGAACGAGUGGCGGACGGGUGAGUAAUGCUUGGGAAUCUGGCUUAUGGAGGGGGAUAACGACGGGAAACUGUCGCUAAUACCGCGUACCAUAGGAUGAGCCCAAGUGGGAUUAGGUAGUUGGUGGGGUAAUGGCCUACCAAGCCGACGGUCUCUCGCUGGUCUGCGAGGAUGACCAGCCACACCGGGACGGAGAAACGGCCCGAACUCCUACGGGAGGCAGCAGUGGGGAAUAUUGCGCAAAGGGGUCAACAUGACGCAGCAAUGCCGCGUGAAUGAAGAAGGCCUUCGGGUUGUAAAGUUCUUUCGGUGACGAGGCGUUAAUCACAGAAGAAGCACCGGCUAACUCCGUGCCAGCAGCCGCGGUAAUUC